Molecule: small nuclear RNA, 102 nt
Filed under: Microtus ochrogaster (prairie vole)
Lineage: Eukaryota; Metazoa; Chordata; Mammalia; Rodentia; Cricetidae
Source: RNAcentral
GUGCUUCGGCAGCACAUAUACUAAAAUUGGAAUAAUACAGAGAAGAUUAUCAUGGCCCUUGUACAAGGAUAACAGCAAAUUCAUGAAGCAUUCCAUAUUUUU